UACGUAGGGGGCGAGCGUUAUCCGGAAUUAUUGGGUGUAAAGGGCGCGUAGACGGUUUAAUAAGUUGAUUGUGAAAGCUCUGGGCUCAACCCAGAAAGUGCAGUCAAAACUAUUAAUCUUGAGUGCAGGAGAGGAAAGUGGAAUUUCUAGUGUAGCGGUGAAAUGCGUAGAUAUUAGGAGGAACACCAGUGGCGAAGGCGACUUUCUGGACUGUAACUGACGUUGAUGCGCGAAAGUGUGGGGAGCAAACAGG
RNAcentral lists this ribosomal RNA (253 nucleotides) under uncultured bacterium. RNAcentral describes it as "partial 16S ribosomal RNA". It matches the Rfam family "Bacterial small subunit ribosomal RNA", at positions 524 to 776 of the family's 1533-position model. The record is from RNAcentral.